UACGUAGGGUGCAAGCGUUGUCCGGAAUUAUUGGGCGUAAAGAGCUCGUAGGCGGUCUGUUGCGUCUGCUGUGAAAACUCGGGGCUUAACCCCGGGCCUGCAGUGGGUACGGGCAGACUAGAGUGCGGUAGGGGAGACUGGAAUUCCUGGUGUAGCGGUGAAAUGCGCAGAUAUCAGGAGGAACACCGGUGGCGAAGGCGGGUCUCUGGGCCGUAACUGACGCUGAGGAGCGAAAGCGUGGGGAGCGAACAGG
Molecule: ribosomal RNA, 253 nt
Filed under: uncultured bacterium
Lineage: Bacteria
Description: partial 16S ribosomal RNA
Rfam family: Bacterial small subunit ribosomal RNA
Source: RNAcentral